GGAGUUGUCCGGACGAUUGCGCAAUUUAUUGUGAGGAAAGUCCGAGCAGCACAGAGCAGGAUAACGGCUAACGGCCGCCGAGGGUGACCUUAGGGAAAGUGCAACAGAAAUAAACCGCCGUAUCUUUACGGUAAGGAUGGAAAGGCGAGGUAAGAGCUCACCGAGGGAGUGGUAACAUUCCCUGCCAUGUAAACCCUAUUCGCUGCAACACCGACUGAAGGGCUGGUUGCUCGCCACAUAACUUCGAAGGGUGGCUUGAGCAGGUCGGUAACGGCCUGUCGAGAUAGAUAAUCGUCCACGACAGAACUCGGCUUACGGGCAACUCCGCAU
This 330-nucleotide RNase P RNA is filed under the name Eubacterium sp. RNAcentral's name for it is "RNase P RNA component class A". It matches the Rfam family "Bacterial RNase P class A". Rfam says of the family: Ribonuclease P (RNase P) is a ubiquitous endoribonuclease, found in archaea, bacteria and eukarya as well as chloroplasts and mitochondria. RNAcentral also lists the same sequence under 1 other name. Lineage: Bacteria; Bacillati; Bacillota; Clostridia; Eubacteriales; Eubacteriaceae. The record is from RNAcentral.